UUGAUCCUGCCGGACCCGACUGCUAUCAGAGUGGGACUAAGCCAUGCGAGUCAACGCAGCAAUGCGUGGUAUACGGCUCAGUAACACGUAGUCAACAUGCCCAGGGGACGUGGAUAACCCCGGGAAACUGAGGAUAAACCGCGAUAGGCCAAGGUUUCUGGAAUGGACACUGGCUGAAACCUAUAUGGCCCCUGGAUUGGACUGCGGCCGAUCAGGCUGUUGGUGAGGUAAUGGCCCACCAAACCUGUAACCGGUACGGGCUUUGAGAGAAGGAGCCCGGAGAUGGGCACUGAGACAAGGGCCCAGGCCCUAUGGGGCGCAGCAGGCGCGAAAAUUCUGCAAUAGGCGAAAGCUUGACAGAGUUACUCUGAGUGAUGCCCGCUAAGGGCAUCUUUUGGCACCUCUAAAAAUGGUGCAGAAUAAGGGGUGGGCAAGUCUGGUGUCAGCCGCCGCGGUAAUACCAGCACCCCGAGUGGUCGGGACGAUUAUUGGGCCUAAAGCAUCCGUAGCUUGUUCUGCAAGUCUUCCGUUAAAUCCACCUGCUCAACAGAUGGGCUGCGGGAGAUACUACAGGGCUAGGAGGCGGGAGAGGCAAGCGGUACUCAGUGGGUAGGGGUAAAAUCCUCUGAUCCACUGAAGACCACCAGUGGCGAAGGCGGCUUGCCAGAACGCGCUCGACGGUGAGGGAUGAAAGCUGGGGGAGCAAACCGGAUUAGAUACC
RNAcentral lists this ribosomal RNA (721 nucleotides) under uncultured Nitrososphaerota archaeon. Its description in RNAcentral is "bacterial SSU rRNA". It matches the Rfam family "Archaeal small subunit ribosomal RNA", at positions 8 to 737 of the family's 1478-position model. Lineage: Archaea; Thermoproteati; Nitrososphaerota. The record is from RNAcentral.